GACGAACGCUGGCGGCGUGCUUAACACAUGCAAGUCGAACGGAAAGGCCCUGCUUUUGUGGGGUGCUCGAGUGGCGAACGGGUGAGUAACACGUGAGUAACCUGCCCUUGACUUUGGGAUAACUUCAGGAAACUGGGGCUAAUACCGGAUAGGAGCUCCUGCUGCAUGGUGGGGGUUGGAAAGUUUCGGCGGUUGGGGAUGGACUCGCGGCUUAUCAGCUUGUUGGUGGGGUAGUGGCUUACCAAGGCUUUGACGGGUAGCCGGCCUGAGAGGGUGACCGGCCACAUUGGGACUGAGAUACGGCCCAGACUCCUACGGGAGGCAGCAGUGGGGAAUAUUGCACAAUGGGCGGAAGCCUGAUGCAGCAACGCCGCGUGCGGGAUGACGGCCUUCGGGUUGUAAACCGCUUUCGCCUGUGACGAAGCGUGAGUGACGGUAAUGGGUAAAGAAGCGCCGGUUAACUACGUG
This 468-nucleotide ribosomal RNA is filed under the name uncultured bacterium. RNAcentral describes it as "partial 16S ribosomal RNA". It matches the Rfam family "Bacterial small subunit ribosomal RNA", at positions 28 to 507 of the family's 1533-position model. The record is from RNAcentral.